GUUCCCUUCGUCUAGCCCGGUCUAGGACACUUCCCUUUCACGGAUGUAACGCGGGUUCGAAUCCCGCAGGGAACGCCA
RNAcentral lists this transfer RNA (78 nucleotides) under Pseudomonadota bacterium. RNAcentral describes it as "Proteobacteria bacterium tRNA-Glu". It matches the Rfam family "tRNA". Rfam says of the family: Transfer RNA (tRNA) molecules are approximately 80 nucleotides in length. Their secondary structure includes four short double-helical elements and three loops (D, anti-codon, and T loops). Further hydrogen bonds mediate the characteristic L-shaped molecular structure. tRNAs have two regions of fundamental functional importance: the anti-codon, which is responsible for specific mRNA codon recognition, and the 3' end, to which the tRNAs corresponding amino acid is attached (by aminoacyl-tRNA synthetases). tRNAs cope with the degeneracy of the genetic code in two manners: having more than one tRNA (with a specific anti-codon) for a particular amino acid; and 'wobble' base-pairing, i.e. permitting non-standard base-pairing at the 3rd anti-codon position. RNAcentral also lists the same sequence under 1 other name. Lineage: Bacteria; Pseudomonadati; Pseudomonadota. The record is from RNAcentral.